Molecule: long non-coding RNA, 593 nt
Filed under: Ovis aries (sheep)
Lineage: Eukaryota; Metazoa; Chordata; Mammalia; Artiodactyla; Bovidae
Description: lncRNA (ENSOARG00000026342.1)
Source: RNAcentral
AUGUCCGCGGGCUGCCAGCGGGUGGUGCUGUCCUGGGAGGCGAGGAGGUCACACUGUCAUUGGCUGAGCAUGCCCACCCCGCCCCUCGCGGGAGAGCGGCUGGGACGCCCUGGGACACGGGUGUGGCUCCUGCGCGGCUGUCGCGGGUGGGGCAAGACCGAUGUGCCCUGGGGCACGCACCCCCCGCCUAGGUGCAGGGUUGGGGGGAUGCUCUGCCUGCCUGUGUCCUCAGCCCCGACUACGGCAGCGCACGGGAGGCUCUCACAAAGGCGUGUGGGGAGCCAGGGCCCCGCAGACAUGGGAGGAAAGUGUCCAGAGACCACGGAGCUCACGGAUGGGCUGGGGCGACUGCCACUGUGUGGUAUGCGGCUGGGAGGGUGGCCAGAUCAGAGCCCGGCUCCAGGGAGGGGGCAUCGGGCCAGGAGGGUGGGAUGCCCAGCCUCUCACUUUGAGCAGCAGCUGGUACUUGGUGAUCCUCUGGACUGGCUUCAGCAGGUAAGAGUCGAGGCUCAGCUUGUGGUCCAGCUUCUUCUGGCACUCCUGCCCCGGGAACACCCUUAGACGGCUGCCCACCCUCCCCGAGCCUCAGCCCA